GAUGAACGCUGGCGGCGUGCUUAACACAUGCAAGUCGAACGAAGCAUUUGCGACAGAUUUUUUCGGAAUGAAGUUGCUUAUGACUGAGUGGCGGACGGGUGAGUAACGCGUGGGUAACGUGCCAUGUACUGGGGGAUAGCAGCUGGAAACGGCUGAUAAUACCGCAUAAGCGCACAAUGUUGCAUGACAUGGUGCGAAAAACUCCGGUGGAAUAAGAUGGACCCGCGACAGAUUAGCUAGUUGGGGAGAUAACAGCCCACCAAGGGGACGAUCAGUAGCCGACGUGAGAGGGUGACCGGCCACAUUGGGACUGAGGCACCGCCCAGAAUCCUACGGGAGUGAGCAGUAGGGAAUAUUGCAAAAGGGAGGAAAGUCUUAAGGGUCGUCGGAGCGUAAAUCAAGAAGUUAUGCGUUAAGUAUAGCUCUAACAGCAGGGGAGAUAGUGACGGGACCUGACUAAGAAGCCCCGGCUAAAUACGUG
This 481-nucleotide ribosomal RNA is filed under the name uncultured bacterium. Its description in RNAcentral is "partial 16S ribosomal RNA". It matches the Rfam family "Bacterial small subunit ribosomal RNA", at positions 28 to 507 of the family's 1533-position model. The record is from RNAcentral.